Molecule: ribosomal RNA, 406 nt
Filed under: uncultured bacterium
Lineage: Bacteria
Also listed under: 2 other names
Description: partial 16S ribosomal RNA
Rfam family: Bacterial small subunit ribosomal RNA
Source: RNAcentral
UGGGGAAUAUUGGGCAAUGGGCGCAAGCCUGACCCAGCAACGCCGCGUGAAGGAAGAAGGCUUUCGGGUUGUAAACUUCUUUUGUCGAGGAAGAGUAGAAGACUGUACUCGGCGAAUAAGCCACGGCUAACUACGUGCCAGCAGCCGCGGUAAUACGUAGGUGGCAAGCGUUGUCCGGAUUUACUGGGUGUAAAGGGCGUGUAGCCGGGUCGGUAAGUCAGAUGUGAAAUCUGGAGGCUCAACCUCCAAACUGCAUUUGAAACUGCUGAUCUUGAGUAUCGGAGAGGCAAUCGGAAUUCCUAGUGUAGCGGUGAAAUGCGUAGAUAUUAGGAGGAACACCAGUGGCGAAGGCGGAUUGCUGGACGACAACUGACGGUGAGGCGCGAAAGCGUGGGGAGCAAACAGG